Molecule: ribosomal RNA, 392 nt
Filed under: Speonomus hydrophilus
Lineage: Eukaryota; Metazoa; Arthropoda; Insecta; Coleoptera; Leiodidae
Description: 12S ribosomal RNA
Source: RNAcentral
AAACCUGGAUUAGAUACCCUGUUAUUAUAAAUGUAAAUUAAUAAGUUAAUUAGUAAUUGUUAUGUUCAUGAAAAUUAAAGGAUUUGGCGGUAUUUUAGUCUAUUCAGAGGAACUUGUCUUGUAAUUGAUAUUCCACGAUUUAUAUUACUUAUUUUAUUAAUUUGUAUAUCGCUGUAGUUGAAUAUUUUUAAAGAAUAGAAAUGUUCAUGAUUUUUUUUAAAAAUGAAAUCAAGUCAAGGUGUAGUUUAUAGAUAAGAAUAGAUGAGUUACAAUAAAUAUAUUUAUGGAUUAUUUAAUUAAAGUUAUUUAUGAAAAUGGAUUUGACAGUAAUAUAGUAUAAAUAUGCUUUAUGAUUGUAGCUCUAAAAUAUGUACAUAUCGCCCGUCACUCUU